AGCAUUCCUGUCAGCCUUGAAGGCGCAGCGUGAGCUGCUCUGGAGCGUCAGGAAAAGCAAAUGUAGGUAUAAGUAACGAUAAAGGGGGUGGGAUGCCCCCUCGCCGCAAGACCAAGGUUUCCAGGGCUACGUUAAUCGCCCCUGGGUCAGUCGGAUCCUAAGGAUAAGCCUAACGGCGAGGCCGAUGGAAAAACGGUUAAUAUUCCGUUACUGCAUUUAUGAGCGAUUGUGGUGACGCAGAAGUGACACAGCCGCCGUCUUACGGAACAGACGGUUGAAGGGCGUAGGUAAUGAGGAAGGCAGGCAAAUCCACCUUCCGAGCUGAAACCCGAGAGUACGCAGACGCCUCCGGGCCGAUGUGAUAGCGCUGGUAACCAUGCUGCCGAGAAAAACCGCUAAGCUUAAUCAUAAAUGCAUCCGUACCGUAAACGGACACACGUGGUCGGGUUGAAUAUACUAAGGCGCUUGGGUGAUUCACGGUUAAGGAACUAGGCAAAUUGACCCUGUAACUUCGGGAUAAAGGGUCCCGUCUCAGAGAUGAGCGGGCGCAGAGAAUAGGUCCAGG
This 565-nucleotide ribosomal RNA is filed under the name Weissella confusa. RNAcentral describes it as "partial 23S ribosomal RNA". It matches the Rfam family "Bacterial large subunit ribosomal RNA", at positions 1235 to 1796 of the family's 2925-position model. Lineage: Bacteria; Bacillati; Bacillota; Bacilli; Lactobacillales; Lactobacillaceae. The record is from RNAcentral.